RNAcentral lists this ribosomal RNA (505 nucleotides) under uncultured bacterium. Its description in RNAcentral is "partial 16S ribosomal RNA". It matches the Rfam family "Bacterial small subunit ribosomal RNA", at positions 28 to 507 of the family's 1533-position model. The record is from RNAcentral.
GACGAACGCUGGCGGCGUGCCUAAUACAUGCAAGUAGAACGCACAGUUUAUACCGUAGCUUGCUACACCAUAGACUGUGAGUUGCGAACGGGUGAGUAACGCGUAGGUAACCUGCCUGGUAGCGGGGGAUAACUAUUGGAAACGAUAGCUAAUACCGCAUAAUAUUAAUUAUUGCAUGAUAAUUAAUUGAAAGGUGCAAUUGCACCACUACCAGAUGGACCUGCGUUGUAUUAGCUAGUAGGUGAGGUAACGGCUCACCUAGGCGACGAUACAUAGCCGAACUGGGAGGGUGGUCGGCCAAAAUGGGACUGGGACACGGCCCAGACUCCUACGGGAAGCAGCAGUAGGGAAUCUUCGGCAAUGGACGAAAGGCUGACCGAGCAACGCCGGGUUAGUGAAGAAGGUUUUCGGAUCGUAAAGCUCUGUUGUAAGAGAAGAACGGGUGUGAGAGUGGAAAGUUCACACUGUGACGGUAUCUAACCAGAAAGGGACGGCUAACUACGUG